GCCGGGCAUGGUGGCGCAUGCCUGUAGUCCCAGCUACUUGGGAGGCUGAGGCAGAAGGAUCGCUUGAGCCCAGGAGUUUGAGGUUGCUGUGGGCUAGGCUGACACCACGGCACUCACUGUGUAGCCUGGGCAACAAAGUGAGACUCUGUCUCAAAAAAAAAAAAAAUCCUGGCACUCAAGGAAUCUGAGGCAGGAGGAUCACUUGAGCCCAGGAGUUCAGGGCCACAGUGAGCUAUGAUUGCCACUGCACUCCAGCCUGGGUGAUAGAGUAAGACCCUAUCUCU
RNAcentral lists this small RNA (284 nucleotides) under Microcebus murinus (gray mouse lemur). Its description in RNAcentral is "Metazoan signal recognition particle RNA (ENSMICG00000042003.1)". The stretch from base 1 to 154 matches the Rfam family "Metazoan signal recognition particle RNA". From Rfam's summary of the family: The signal recognition particle (SRP) is a universally conserved ribonucleoprotein. It is involved in the co-translational targeting of proteins to membranes. The record is from RNAcentral. Lineage: Eukaryota; Metazoa; Chordata; Mammalia; Primates; Cheirogaleidae.